AUGGGGGAUGAUGAUGGUGGGCACUGGCUUGUCCUCUUCUGUUACCUCAUCAUCCUCUUCAUUCCCCUUUAUCCACCCUCAGCCCCACAUUUUCUGUCACGUUUCACCACUUUCUCCCUCCUUAUCUCUUUUCUCCAGGGUUUCUCCCAUUCCUGUCAACUCCUUCCUCCAGUUCCUGCCACCUCCGUCCCUUCCAUUUCUGUCCUUCAUAUCCCUCACCAGCCCUUUCCUCUCUUGCCCCAUUUUCUGUCACCAACACUUUCUUUCCAGUCCCCUUUUCACACUUUUCUGUCUUUUGUCCUUACACUUUGUCCCUUUUCAUCCCCCAUUUCCCCUCACCUUUCUGCAGCUUUCUCAGCUCCUCUCCUUCCCAUUCUCAGGUUUUCCUGCUCUUUUCCCCUCACGUUUUCCCGCCCUUUUUCCCCUCACGUUUUCCCGCCCUUUUUCCCCUCACGUUUUCCCGCCCUUUCCCUCAUAUUUUCCUCAUAUUUUCCUGCUUUUUUCCCUAUUUUUUCCCACCCUUCCUCCUCAUGUUUUCCUGCCUUUCCCCCCUCAUUUUCACGCCAGUUCCCUUCAAUUUUCCCACUUUUUCACCUCACAUUUCCCCACCCUUUUCAUCUCACAUUUUUCCACCUUUCCCCCUCACAUCUUCCCACCAUUUCCCAUCCACUCUUUGCCCUAAUUUUUGUCCCCUUUUCCAGCUGUUUCUGUCCCUUCCUGAUGUCAUUUUCUGUCCCCUUUUUGACCCCAAUCUGUCACUUCUUCCAGCAUAUCCUCUUCCCUCUUUUCUGCUCCCUUUCCUGUCUAUUUUUGCCCUCCACUUCUUGUCACCUCUUCCAGCCUUUCCUGUCACAUUUUCCCACCGUUUCCUCACACGUUUUCCCACUAAUUUCCAUCCCCUCACCCCUUUCUUUCUUGCCCCAUUUUCCCUCUUUUCUGUCUGCUUUUACCCACCUUUCCUUUCAGUUUUUCUCCCCAUUUUCUCUCCCGCAUUCCUCUCAUUUUGGGUUCCUCUUUCCCCCUUCUCUGUCGCUGUUCUCAGCUCCUCUUCCCCCCUACUUCAUCCCCUCACCCCUCAGGCCAUGA
This 1086-nucleotide long non-coding RNA is filed under the name Serinus canaria (Common canary). RNAcentral's name for it is "lncRNA (ENSSCAG00000004428.1)". The record is from RNAcentral. Lineage: Eukaryota; Metazoa; Chordata; Aves; Passeriformes; Fringillidae.